AUUGUGGGCAGGGCCGUGGGAGAGCUGAGCGAGGAGAAGCUGCAGGAAGAGCUCGCGGACUCUUGAGAAUCAGCAGGGGGAGUCUCCCGCAUUGACUUCAUAACCAAGUUCUGGGUCCCUGCCACUGGAGUGCCUGAUGAGACAAAACGGCUCCUCGUCCUGCAUCCCCGCUGCUACUUCCAGAAUUCAGGCCUCGUGGCCUGGAGCCUGCACUGUUCCAUGAGCCCCCUGACCAACCUGGAGGCCUCUGUCUUUCUUCCCUCGGUGAGAUGCGCCUACUUCUCCCUGGAGAAGCUCGAGGAAGCAGAAAUGCUGGAGAUGAGACCCAGCACACCCUGCCUGCAUGGCGCUGUGCUGCACCUUCACUCUGGUCACGGGUCUGGCAGUCGGCUCACCAAUUCCUCCCGCUUCCCUGGGACUCGCCGGCUUUUAGCACUGCAAUUCACUCAGCAAACUGGGACUGUUGGUCACCCU
RNAcentral lists this non-coding RNA (474 nucleotides) under Pan troglodytes (chimpanzee). The record is from RNAcentral. Lineage: Eukaryota; Metazoa; Chordata; Mammalia; Primates; Hominidae.